UGGAAUGCAUCACAACACAUACAAUUCACAUCACGGAUGGACUUGUCACCAAUAACCCUCUACAUAUCCAAUGUGCCCGGCCCUCGACGGAGCUCUGCAGGACUUCCUCUUAAACAUCACACAAUGCCAAGACGCAUGGACAUGGGCAGCCCUGGACUUUCGUAAAUCAUACAUAAUAAAUGCCAGGACGUGUGGACAUGGGCAGCC
RNAcentral lists this long non-coding RNA (207 nucleotides) under Manihot esculenta (cassava). RNAcentral describes it as "long non-coding RNA (MESC_LNC002165)". The record is from RNAcentral. Lineage: Eukaryota; Viridiplantae; Streptophyta; Magnoliopsida; Malpighiales; Euphorbiaceae.